This 1165-nucleotide long non-coding RNA is filed under the name Fukomys damarensis (Damara mole-rat). RNAcentral describes it as "lncRNA (ENSFDAG00000025021.1)". Lineage: Eukaryota; Metazoa; Chordata; Mammalia; Rodentia; Bathyergidae. The record is from RNAcentral.
AUGGCAGCAGCCACUCCCAGUGGUCACUCAGGGAGGGCUCCUAGAGAGAGCAGCAGCAGCAAGCUUGCAGCAGGACCAGUGAGCCUGGCAGGCCACUGGGGAGGAAUGGAGAACCCCUUCUUGGCUGCAUGUUGGCUUCGAUCCUGCACUCCAGGGAGCCAUGACCCCUUUCCAGCGGAGACCAUAAGUGCUGCAAAGAGUUAACCAUCUACCCAAAGUCACAUGGGAAGGAGGAAUGCAGUCAAUUUAAACUCAAAGAAGUCAUGCUCCUGAUUCUGCUGUUUUCUUCCACACCCUGCUCCCUCCUAGAUUUCCUAGGAUGGUUCAGCUCCUCAAGAGACGACUGGUGGAAUUUCUAGUAUGCCUCAAAAAUGGAUGGAGUCUGGGCCAGGGAUUUAGCUCAGUGGAUCUGCUACCUGCCUCGCAAGUGCAAGAUCCCUAGUUCAAUCCCUGGUGUAUGUAUAUAUAUAUAUAUAUAAAGAUGGAGUCCCUCCGUCCAGAUUAAUGCUUCCUUCCCUGAAACACAUAAGAGAGCAGUGGUGGCCAUGUCUGUGGGUGCCUUGGAACCUCUGUCUACAGCUGAUGCUCAGGAGAGGAUCCAGGUGGGCUAGAAAUCAGCCCAUGGGUGGGUCACUUCCCUCUCGAUGCCGUGGGAUUGAACUUGGUCAAGCUGGGGAAGGGCUGCCUGCCAGCCCCUGAAGCCCAAUAUUAACUGCUUUUCUGUUGCUAUAACAAAAUGCCUGAGCCCAGGUACUUUCUAUGAAAAGAGGUUUAUUUUGCUCACAUGUUUGAAGGUUGGUUGCAUGGUGCUAGCACCCUCUCAGCUCUGGUGAGAGACUACUCACUACAUCACAACACAGAGGGUAGCAUCAUGGUAGGACUUGUGCAAGGGGGAGAGAGCCUAUGGCAAGAGAGGAAGCAAGAGAAAUGUUGGGGAGAUGCCUUGCUCCCUUAAAAUAACCUGCUCACAGGGCUUCCUAUGAGAGCAAGAACACACUUCCUUGAGAAAAUCAUUCAUUCCUCUAAAAACACCAGUCGCCUCCCUCUAAGCCCACCCCUGAAAGGCUUUGCCACCCCGAACAUCCCAGCAUCAUCAGCACGUGUACCUUUUCAGGACACAGACUCAUCCAGCCCACACUACCUCUGGAUAAAGUGCACUCGGCCU